RNAcentral lists this ribosomal RNA (433 nucleotides) under uncultured bacterium. RNAcentral describes it as "partial 16S ribosomal RNA". It matches the Rfam family "Bacterial small subunit ribosomal RNA", at positions 29 to 507 of the family's 1533-position model. The record is from RNAcentral.
AACGAACGCUGGCGGCAGGCCUAACACAUGCAAGUCGAGCGCACCCUUCGGGGUGAGCGGCGGACGGGUGAGUAACGCGUGGGAACGUGCCCUUCUCUGCGGAAUAGCCUCGGGAAACUGAGAGUAAUACCGCAUACGCCCUUUGGGGGAAAGAUUUAUCGGAAAAGGAUCGGCCCGCGUUGGAUUAGGUAGUUGGUGGGGUAAUGGCCCACCAAGCCGACGAUCCAUAGCUGGUUUGAGAGGAUGAUCAGCCACACUGGGACUGAGACACGGCCCAGACUCCUACGGGAGGCAGCAGUGGGGAAUCUUAGACAAUGGGGGCAACCCUGAUCUAGCCAUGCCGCGUGAGUGAUGAAGGCCUUAGGGUUGUAAAGCUCUUUCAGCUGGGAAGAUAAUGACGGUACCAGCAGAAGAAGCCCCGGCUAACUCCGUG